CCUACGGGUGGCAGCAGUGAGGAAUAUUGGUCAAUGGCCGUAAGGCUGAACCAGCCAAGUAGCGUGAGGGAAGACUGCCCUAUGGGUUGUAAACCUCUUUUAUGCGGGGAUAGAGGUGUCCGCGUGUGGCUGUUUGCAGGUACCGCAUGAAUAAGGACCGGCUAAUUCCGUGCCAGCAGCCGCGGUAAUACGGAAGGUCCGGGCGUUAUCCGGAUUUAUUGGGUUUAAAGGGAGCGUAGGCCGGUCUUUAAGCGUGCCGUGAAAUUUUGUGGCUCAACCAUGAGAGUGCGGCGCGUACUGGUGAGCUUGAGUGCGCGGAAGGCAGGCGGAAUUCGUGGUGUAGCGGUGAAAUGCUUAGAGAUCACGAAGAACCCCGAUUGCGAAGGCAGCCCGCUGAAGCGUUACUGACGCUGAAGCUCGAAAGCGCGGGUAUCGAACAGGAUUAGAUACCCUAGUAGUC
This 460-nucleotide ribosomal RNA is filed under the name uncultured bacterium. RNAcentral describes it as "partial 16S ribosomal RNA". It matches the Rfam family "Bacterial small subunit ribosomal RNA", at positions 338 to 795 of the family's 1533-position model. The record is from RNAcentral.